This 590-nucleotide ribosomal RNA is filed under the name uncultured bacterium. Its description in RNAcentral is "bacterial SSU rRNA". It matches the Rfam family "Bacterial small subunit ribosomal RNA", at positions 332 to 922 of the family's 1533-position model. The record is from RNAcentral.
GCCCUUCCUACGGGAGGCAGCAGUGAGGAAUAUUGGUCAAUGGGCGGAAGCCUGAACCAGCCAUGCCGCGUGCGGGAAGAAGGCGCUACGCGUCGUAAACCGCUUUUGUCCGGGGGUAACCGCGGGGACGUGUCCCCGCCUGCAAGUACCGGACGAAUAAGGGUCGGCUAACUCCGUGCCAGCAGCCGCGGUAAUACGGAGGACCCGAGCGUUAUCCGGAUUCAUUGGGUUUAAAGGGUGCGCAGGCGGCCCGGUCAGUCAGCGGUGAAAUGCCCGCGCUUCACGCGGGAGCUGCCGUUGAUACUGCCGGGCUAGAAUCUCAGCGAGGCGGGCGGAAUGCGCGGUGUAGCGGUGAAAUGCAUAGAUAUCGCGCAGAACGCCGAUUGGGGAGCCAGCUCGCCAGCUGGGUAUUGACGCUGAGGCACGAAAGCGUGGGGAUCGAACAGGAUUAGAUACCCUGGUAGUCCACGCCGUAAACGAUGAUGGCUCGCUCUUGGCUGGAAACGGUCAGGGGCCUAGCGAAAGCGUUAAGCCAUCCACCUGGGGAGUACGCCGGCAACGGUGAAACUCAAAGGAAUUGACGGAAGGGC